AUUGAACGCUGGCGGCAUGCUUUACACAUGCAAGUCGAACGGCAGCGCGGGCUUCGGCCUGGCGGCGAGUGGCGAACGGGUGAGUAAUACAUCGGAACGUGCCCAGUAGCGGGGGAUAGCUCGGCGAAAGCCGGAUUAAUACCGCAUACGACCUGAGGGUGAAAGCGGGGGAUCUUCGGACCUCGCGCUAUUUGAGCGGCCGAUGGCAGAUUAGCUAGUUGGUGGGGUAAAGGCCUACCAAGGCGACGAUCUGUAGCUGGUCUGAGAGGACGACCAGCCACACUGGGACUGAGACACGGCCCAGACUCCUACGGGAGGCAGCAGUGGGGAAUUUUGGACAAAGGGCGAAAGCCUGAUCCAGCAAUGCCGCGUGUGUGAUGAAGGCCUUCGGGUUGUAAAGCACUUUUGGCGGGAACGAAAAGGACUGUGCCAAUACCACGGUUCGAUGACGGUACCCGCAGAAUAAGCACCGGCUAACUACGUG
Molecule: ribosomal RNA, 484 nt
Filed under: uncultured bacterium
Lineage: Bacteria
Description: partial 16S ribosomal RNA
Rfam family: Bacterial small subunit ribosomal RNA
Source: RNAcentral